GAGUUUGAUCUUGGCUCAGAUUGAACGCUGGCGGCAGGCCUAACACAUGCAAGUCGAGCGGUAGAGAGAAGCUUGCUUCUCUUGAGAGCGGCGGACGGGUGAGUAAUGCCUAGGAAUCUGCCUGGUAGUGGGGGAUAACGCUCGGAAACGGACGCUAAUACCGCAUACGUCCUACGGGAGAAAGCAGGGGACCUUCGGGCCUUGCGCUAUCAGAUGAGCCUAGGUCGGAUUAGCUAGUUGGUGAGGUAAUGGCUCACCAAGGCGACGAUCCGUAACUGGUCUGAGAGGAUGAUCAGUCACACUGGAACUGAGACACGGUCCAGACUCCUACGGGAGGCAGCAGUGGGGAAUAUUGGACAAUGGGCGAAAGCCUGAUCCAGCCAUGCCGCGUGUGUGAAGAAGGUCUUCGGAUUGUAAAGCACUUUAAGUUGGGAGGAAGGGCAGUAAAUUAAUACUUUGCUGUUUUGACGUUACCGACAGAAUAAGCACCGGCUAACUCUGUGCCAGCCGCC
This 512-nucleotide ribosomal RNA is filed under the name uncultured bacterium. RNAcentral describes it as "bacterial SSU rRNA". It matches the Rfam family "Bacterial small subunit ribosomal RNA", at positions 9 to 516 of the family's 1533-position model. The record is from RNAcentral.